UACGGAGGGUGCACGCGUUAUCCUGAUUCACUGGGUUUAAAGGGUGCGUAGGCGGGCUAGUAAGUCCGUGGUGAAAUCCCCGAGCUUAACUCGGGAACUGCCGUGGAUACUAUUAGUCUUGAAUAUCGUGGAGGUAAGCGGAAUAUGUCAUGUAGCGGUGAAAUGCAUAGAUAUGUCACAGAACACCAAUUGCGAAGGCAGCUUACUAAGGUGCAAUUGACGCUGAGGCACGAAAGCGUGGGGAUCAAACAGG
RNAcentral lists this ribosomal RNA (253 nucleotides) under uncultured bacterium. Its description in RNAcentral is "partial 16S ribosomal RNA". It matches the Rfam family "Bacterial small subunit ribosomal RNA", at positions 524 to 776 of the family's 1533-position model. The record is from RNAcentral.